RNAcentral lists this ribosomal RNA (258 nucleotides) under uncultured bacterium. RNAcentral describes it as "partial 16S ribosomal RNA". It matches the Rfam family "Bacterial small subunit ribosomal RNA", at positions 524 to 777 of the family's 1533-position model. The record is from RNAcentral.
UACGUAGAGAGCAAGCGUUGUCCGGAAUCAUUGGGCGUAAAGGGUACGCAGGCGGUCUAUUAAGUCAGAGGUGAAAUCCAACAGCUCAACUGUUGAACUGCCUUUGAUACUGGUAGACUUGAGGAUAAGAGAAGAAAACGGAAUUCCUAGUGUAGCGGUGAAAUGCGUAGAUAUUAGGAAGAAUACCGAUGGCGAAAAGCAAGUUUUCUAACUUAUUCCCGAACGCUCAGGUACGAAAAGCUAGGGUAGCAAAACGGG